GAGGACUGAGGAGAUUGAAGGAACAGGAAACCAGGCAGAACAGGCAAGACUGAUGCUGAAAAACAGGCAUUACUCCUUAUUUAGGUAUAAACAGGACUGGCAAGAGUCAAAGAAACUGAUGACCGUGCUCAGAACAUGCUCAGCUUUUUUACUCAUUAGACAGCCAUGAGCUUUAAUGUCCUGCCAUCUGUGCAAGCCAAACAGCAAGAAAAUCAGAACAAUAAAGAAUUUUUAAAGAAU
Xenopus tropicalis (tropical clawed frog) is the source of this 240-nucleotide long non-coding RNA. RefSeq lists it as uncharacterized. The transcript is spliced from 2 exons. Lineage: Eukaryota; Metazoa; Chordata; Amphibia; Anura; Pipidae. The record is from RefSeq and is a predicted model, not a curated record.